UACGUAGGGGGCUAGCGUUGUCCGGAAUCAUUGGGCGUAAAGCGCGUGUAGGCGGUCCGGUAAGUCCGCUGUGAAAGUCGGGGGCUCAACCCUCGGAUGCCGGUGGAUACUGUCGGGCUUGAGUACGGAAGAGGCGAGUGGAAUUCCAGGUGUAGCGGUGAAAUGCGCAGAUAUCAGGAGGAACACCAAUUGCGAAGGCAGCUCGCUGGGACGUUACUGACGCUGAGACGCGAAAGCGUGGGGAGCAAACAGG
RNAcentral lists this ribosomal RNA (253 nucleotides) under uncultured bacterium. RNAcentral describes it as "partial 16S ribosomal RNA". It matches the Rfam family "Bacterial small subunit ribosomal RNA", at positions 524 to 776 of the family's 1533-position model. The record is from RNAcentral.